CAGGCUCCGGCUUUCACUUUCGAAAAAACUUUUCAAUUUAAUUUUGAAAACGAAAAAACUAAUGCAAAACGGUACACGCAAAGUCCAAAUUAAAAUAAACACCUUUUUAUAAAACAAGCCGAAUCUUAAUUGCCAAUGAAAGUAAGAAAAAUAGAUGACCUAUUGAUGCAUUAACAGAUGAUUGGCACCAGUACCAGUGCAAUUUUUCUGGUGCUUUUUUUGUAAAUAAUUUCUGUUUAGCCCAACUUCAAAGUUUGCUUUGAGAUAAUUGGUCAAAGCAGCAACAUGUGCGUUUAAAAGACAUUCGCAAAUUUGACGAAAACAGGAGCAUCUAAAGCGAAAACGGAACGUUUUAGCUGAAAGCGCAAAACGUAAAACUAACUUGGGUUGGAUGCCACUGCUUUUGUCCUAAAAUAGUUCUGACGUGUCUAAAACGUACCGCUAUCCUUUAACUCUAAUCUGUUAUUUGUAUCUCCGAAAUAAUAAAAUCAGGAGACUUA
Molecule: long non-coding RNA, 500 nt
Organism: Drosophila pseudoobscura
Lineage: Eukaryota; Metazoa; Arthropoda; Insecta; Diptera; Drosophilidae
Exons: 2
Source: RefSeq, a predicted model, not a curated record